This 253-nucleotide ribosomal RNA is filed under the name uncultured microorganism. RNAcentral's name for it is "partial 16S ribosomal RNA". It matches the Rfam family "Bacterial small subunit ribosomal RNA", at positions 524 to 776 of the family's 1533-position model. The record is from RNAcentral.
UACGGAGGGUGCGAGCGUUAAUCGGAAUUACUGGGCGUAAAGCGUGCGCAGGCGGUUUGUUAAGACAGGUGUGAAAUCCCUGGGCUCAACCUAGGAAUUGCGCUUGUGACUGGCGGGCUCGAGUACGGUAGAGGGGGGUGGAAUUCCUGGUGUAGCAGUGAAAUGCGUAGAGAUCAGGAGGAACACCGAUGGCGAAGGCAGCCCCCUGGGCCUGUACUGACGCUCAUGCACGAAAGCGUGGGGAGCAAACAGG